Molecule: long non-coding RNA, 250 nt
Filed under: Setaria viridis
Lineage: Eukaryota; Viridiplantae; Streptophyta; Magnoliopsida; Poales; Poaceae
Description: long non-coding RNA (SVIR_LNC000716)
Source: RNAcentral
CGGGAGUAAGAUAUUAUUUAUGGUUGACUUGGGGACGAGGUAUUUAAUUAUAGUUGGAUUGCUCGUCGCCUGAUCUUAGCCGUCCAUAUGCACAGAUCUCAAAUCUCAAAUACUGGAAGCAAUGUAACAAAAAAAUUUAUGGAAGUUAUAUAGGUUUUUCGGUUCGUAAGGAGAAUGAUUCAGCUCAGCCACAACUCACAGGUCAACCAUUCAGGCCAAGCCCAAGUUGGCUUGUCACCCUAUAUAUGUC